This is a small nuclear RNA of Nomascus leucogenys (northern white-cheeked gibbon), 104 nucleotides long. The record is from Ensembl. Lineage: Eukaryota; Metazoa; Chordata; Mammalia; Primates; Hylobatidae.
GUGUUCAGUUAGGCAGCACGUACACUAACAUUGGAAUGAUACAAGAAGGUUAGCAUGGCCUCUGCACAAGGAUGACACAAAAUCAUGAUGUGUUCCAUUAAAAA